Molecule: long non-coding RNA, 254 nt
Organism: Pollicipes pollicipes
Lineage: Eukaryota; Metazoa; Arthropoda; Thecostraca; Pollicipedomorpha; Pollicipedidae
Exons: 4
Source: RefSeq, a predicted model, not a curated record
UAGAAAAACCGUGACCAGACGCACGGCAGUGGGAAAUACAUCAAACGUACACUGGAAUUUGUGUUGUCGAGUUUGACAGCGUUCGGUGAGCGGCAGCCAUGUCACAGUAUGGAGGCAACAAGAGCGGACCGCCGCCCUGGGCUCAGACGCCCGGCAUGCUGCAGAGGCCAGUGUACUCGGAGGCCGGUAAUUCAUCCAUCCGGGCAUCCCCCAUCACCUACCAAACGCCGCAGCAGCUGGGCCAGCAGACGCUG